This 356-nucleotide transfer-messenger RNA is filed under the name Phycisphaerales. RNAcentral describes it as "RECZ01 sp007693765 Standard tmRNA". It matches the Rfam family "transfer-messenger RNA". Rfam says of the family: Bacterial tmRNA, also known as 10Sa RNA or SsrA, is named for its dual tRNA and mRNA-like properties. Its role is to liberate the mRNA from a stalled ribosome. To accomplish this part of the tmRNA is used as a reading frame that ends in a translation stop signal. The record is from RNAcentral. Lineage: Bacteria; Pseudomonadati; Planctomycetota; Phycisphaerae. RNAcentral also lists the same sequence under 1 other name.
GGGGCCGAAUUGGAUUCGACCGGACACGCGCUGCGCAUCGUGGCGCGUCGCGGCGCACGCUGGCCGCGUCAACAAGCGUGCAACACUUGAUAACUGCCAACAAGCAGUUCGCUCUCGCUGCCUGAGAUUCAGGCGCGCGAGCGUCGUCCCACGCCCGAUAGGACGACGCUCGACAGACAUCGGGCUGGCCGCUGCACACUGCCUUGGGGUGCAUCGGUGAGAAACCACUCGGGGCUGGGCCGAAGCGCAGGGUGUCGGCGCCCGACGCGAGGCUGAGAUUAAAUCACCGACUACACGCGUAGAGGCGAUGCGUGGACGGUCUCGGGACGGGGGUUCGAUCCCCCCCGGCUCCACUU